Molecule: long non-coding RNA, 597 nt
Organism: Humulus lupulus (European hop)
Lineage: Eukaryota; Viridiplantae; Streptophyta; Magnoliopsida; Rosales; Cannabaceae
Exons: 3
Source: RefSeq, a predicted model, not a curated record
GCUGUUUCUAUUUAUUUCUUUCUCAAUUUAGUUUUUCUGCUGCUUUUGCUGCCUCUUGUCGUUGUAUUUAAGAGUUUUGUUGUUCUUUUUAUUUUGUGAGCUCUAGUUUCCAAGGACUCUAUAGUGGGUUUGGAUAGUUUCUUGGUUGUAAGAGUUGUAAUUUUUUUUAAUGAUGACUCCUAAUUAAAGGUCGAAUGAUGUUGAUAGUUUAUUAAUUGGUAUGUAAUUUUGCUUUCAUUUUAGUGGCUUCAUUGGAUUUCAAAUUGGAAGGAACUUUAUUUGCAGCAGUUUGCAAGAGGUACCUCUCUAUUAUGAUGGGAUUGGGGGCAUACGUUUGUCAUUAAAACUUUCUGACUCUAGCCAAACACCUAUAGAGAUUGGAUUGGAUCUGGAGAAAUUGUUGCAGAAGGUUAUUUUAUUUCAAGUGACCCAAAGGAUGAGGUUCACCAUGUUCCUCUUGGGCCUAGUGCUAUGAAAGUAGGGAUAGAUCUUGUGAGAAAGAAUGAUGCAUUUCUGUGGAGGCCUUCAACAGUUAUGUCUACUAUAGAAGAUGCUAUAGGUAGUAUAAUUGCAUGGCCAGCUGAUAAAGUUAUAAUU